RNA transcript from Centrocercus urophasianus (Greater sage-grouse), 4820 nucleotides. It is a transcript of the gene named G protein-coupled receptor 146, with no coding region annotated. The transcript has 5 exons. NCBI's taxonomy places the organism in Eukaryota, Metazoa, Chordata, Aves, Galliformes, Phasianidae. The record is from RefSeq and is a predicted model, not a curated record.
CCACGAGCUCCAUCUCCUCCAAUGAAAGAGGUACCACAGGGUGUAGGCAGGUUGCCAGGCGCGCUCGGCAGCGUGACCGCACUGCAUUGAGUUUCUUUAAUGAAAGCCAGGAAAGAACACAUUACACAGUGUUUCUUCUGCGAGCUCGCUAGCCUCCAGUGAUUGAAAUCAAUAAAAACAGUCGGCAAGGGGCCCAGUGGGGGAAGAGAGAAACCUCCACUACGGCAUUCAGUUUGCUUUGCACUUUCUCCCUCCCCCCUGAAGUUAAACUCGGAUCACCAUGACGAGCUGCUCGGCUCCCAGCGCUCGCACCGGGCUUUGAGGGCAGGGAGCGCCUCGGCUCCUGCUGCCCUGCUCAAAGAACCACGGCGUUGUGUGCAGAUCGAAUCUCUCCUGGAGAAGUUCACCGGACAAGUGCACUGCCCCGCACCCAGAAGGGGAAAGCUCUGCAGGAGGAUGGUAGGGGAGCACGGGGAAGAAGGAGCCAUCUGAGCCAGCGGGAGCCCGCGUCCUGGUGAGGAUGCCGAGCCAGGGGACCUGCGGAUCUGCUGGCAGCCAGCAGCCCAGCUCACAGCGACCUGCACCGUAGGGCAGCCCAGCGCUCAGCAGCACAUCAGCGCAGAGCCAGUGGUUCCAUCUUCAAGUGACGUCCUUCUGGGCUGCACCUCAUAGAAAUGAGAGGUCGGAGUUUCUGCUGAGCUUACCUUGGAAGGGUUCUGACUUGAUGGACAAAAUGUUUCUGCCAGCCUUCAAGGAACAGCAGGGCAGUGCCUACCAGGGUGCUACCAGGCAGCAGAAGUGGGCUCUGAAUUACGCUGGAGCUGCAAUGCAAUGAUUUACCACAAUGAUGCUGUCUAUGGAAUAAAGGAACAAACAGAUUACAGUGGUUGCAAACCAUCUGCAGAACAGCAAAAGACUUCACAUCACAAGAGCGGGGCCCAUGGGAAGGAGCUGAAUUGUGAAGUGUUCUCAGGCAGAUGUUUGUUUAGAAUUUCUGAAAAAGCAGUGAGAUGGGCGAGCAAUCUCAAAGGAUGACCGACGCACAGUGAGAAGAGUGGCUUUGGAAGCCUGAGCAACUGUGUGCUCACUCCACGUGUGACGGAAAUACACCCAUCCUUUCUGAGAAUUCCGUUCUCGUUGCUGGCUUGACAUGCCUAAGAAUGCAUCGAAGGCAGCCCAGGAAGUCCCAUAGGAAUGAGAGAAGAAAGAAAUGACGAGUAUCAUCUGAAGAACCUCGUGCUCCCUCUGCCAGGACCGGAACGGAAAGCGGUACUGCAAGAGGAAGAAAACCACCCCGCCCCCACUGAUCUGCUCCUGCUCUUUUGUUUGUAUGCUUUAAGCAUCCCAGGCAGGAUGUCAGAUUUAAUGCUACUUUAUGCAUCAGUUAUUACUGUAAUCCACUCAUGGCUUCCUUCACGUUGUACUGCAUGGGAUCAACUACAUUAUAAAAUGAAACUGAUAUCAAUUAUAAGCAUACCACCCGUCAAACUGGUCAAUGAUUGCACCACGAUGACGCAAAUGAUGGGGUUGGCAGAGGCCUGUUUUUCUCAGCCCAGCACCCAGUAUCAAGCAGGAUUUUCUUCUACACUAAUGUUUAAAGCAUUUUAUCUGAGCCAUAUCAUUAUAUUCCAAACAAUGGCAGCUCAGCAGCCACACAAAAAAAGAAUAUUCGGUUCCUUACUUGCCUGCACUGCAGCAUUUUUCCCCUCUCAUCUAACCUGGACAAUCUAGUUUUACUUUUCUGUACAGCCAGCCAACGACUCCUCUGUUAACCCUUACGACACGUAUAUCAACUGGUAAGCUAAAAAAAACAUCAUGUAAUGCAGACUUGGAGCUAACAGCAACGUGAGACGGCUUUCUCUCACACUUCAGAGUUCAGAGCGUGCUCCCCCUGGGGCACAACUAAUGGCAGGGGUGCUAUUCUUCUGCAAUACCUAUCAUCCACUAUUUAAAUGUUUAAGGAGUAACCCAUAAAUAACACUUAGCAUGUCACUUUCUAAAUGCACCUUACAGACCCUGAUGAGUAGCCAGAAUCUACUAAGCCAUGGUUCAUGCAACGCUUCUGGCAAAGACUUCCAGUCUUCUGCUUCUGCAAACCCCUGCAGUCCCACAGUGCCUCCCCAUGCAGCACGCUUUGCUUUCAGUCCCUGCAGAAAUUAAGAGACCCUUUGGGAACUCUACAGGACCCGAGGAAGGUACGAAUGCUCAGCAUCUGCAGAGACUUCAUUUGUUGGCAACAGCUUUAUAGCUACAUACGGCUUAUAACGACAUUAUAGUUUGUGAAAAAGAAUAUUCAGAGGUCGGAUUAUCUGUUUCAGGGCACUGUCGCAUACAGGUCAAGCAGACAAAAGCAUUUAUUUACUAAACCAAACAUCUGGACAGCAAGAGGGGGCUACAGCAGAACACAAAAUUCAGCACACCAUUAACGAUCAACCUACAGCUCAGAAACUCUGCAAAAGAAACGAUCCACUUUAAGGACACAGAGAACACAUGCACACCACUGCUUGUGUGCAACACUCAAACACGGUGAGCUCAGUCAUCUUUCCAGCUUCUCAAAAAAAGGAAACACGAUGGGAUCUGUGACACCAUCACAAAGUGGGGCCCUGUCGUAUCCUCACAACACUGAAGCAAUCUCUGAAUUCCACAUCAGUGCCCGGAAACCUGCCUCCCCAGCUUCCAGAGCUCGCCCUGUGAGCAGGACAAGCAGCGGGAUGCUUCUUAGCACAGUGUGCUCAACCACUGCCUGUUCAGGACGUAUGGCCUGUAAAAGCGAAACCUCAAAGCCGUAUAUUCUUAUCACAGGUUAAAAAUAAAACACUUGCUCUUGAGCAAGAGCGGUGGAUCGCAGGGCAGGGAAUGGGCUCCCACAUGUCCCCAGGGAACCUGAGCACAGACGACAACCCCCAACAGCUCUGAUUGCUGCCGCAGCCCAAGCAUUCUGGGCAGUAAGUCGGAAACCCAGUGGCUGAAGCCCAGCCUCUUGCUUCUUGAGCGGGGCUGUAAACAGCCAAAGGGAGGGGCCUCGCACAGCCAAGCCGAGCCCAGAGUGGUGAGUAAGUCACCGAAGGAGAAACAAGUGCAGCAUGCAGCACUGGGGCUGGGAGGCAAUGGGCUGCGGGUGCGGUGAGGCGCUCUGGCUGCUGCCCUCCCCGCAUGCCCUCCACGCACGUCCCCUGCAAUGCCCUCCAUGCAAGUGCUGCCCAGGAGAGCCUGCAGGGCUGUGAGGUGAAGUUUUAACACACCAGAUGCUUCCUGAAGACUCACUGGGUUGUUUACAGUGUUCAAAAUAGAAUGAGGAUUAAGGGACAGUAUAAAGAUACCACGGUUUGUACAUCUAUGCAACACUCAUGCUAAAGAACUGGUCUGAGAAUGCAAACAAAAAGGAGGUUUUUAUCCAGAGGUGAAAUAAAUCUUUGCAUACAACAGACCUGCAUCUUGUGCUACUGUUAAAGACAUCUCUUACCUGAGAAAAUCUGGCAUCAGACUGUGAAAUAAAGGUUUAUCUGCCCAGCUAAGUGGCUGUACUUUAUCCUGCUAUCUGGCUGUGCUUACUUAGAAGAAAGUGCACACAAAACAACUGCAGUGGGAAAUAAAAUGGAACUGGACAUGAUUCUGGAACAUAUUCUUCUGGACUUCAGCUGAAGUGUCAGAGGAUUAACGCUACAGAGAUGGAACUGCACAUCUCCCAGUGGUUGCAAAACCCACAGUGCAUCAUUCAGCCAUAUGGUUCACUGAGUACAGCAUGUUGUCUAGUGACAUUCAUUUUAAUUGCACAAUGCUUCAUGUGGAUUCAAUUUAAUCUUGUUCUCUCGCUGGAAAGAAUGCAUUUGUGUACUUUUCUGUACCUGCUGAAAGAACACAGUGCUGCAUAUCUGACCAUCUCAGACUACAUCUGACACGUGAAAUCGCCAGCCACGCUGUCCUAGGAAAGGAAUGACAGCCAUGAUCUGAAGGCCUUGAAUGUUUCCAGUUGUACCUUAGAGAUUGCUUUAGAGAUUUCUUAUUUCUGCAUUUCAGAAAGAGACGAUGGCUUUGAGGAGUCUUCUGAAUUCUGAUGACAAAGGACAGCUGGACAAUGACUACUGAUAUUAGCUGACUUUUUGAAGAAUUUAAGCUAUUGCAGGAGGAAAUGAUAGUUAAUUCCUGUCGUUUUAGAAAUACAGGCUGCCCUCCUAUUAGGUUCCCUAGACUACAGAGAUCCAUUGUUUUUCCAGUACUAAAUGGUUGUAGGUUUGAAAUCUGAAUAGAAAGUUGUAAAGAAAAGCCAGCAAAAAAAAAAAACAAACCUUCCACCUCAUUUCCCAGUUUCCUCUUGCCUUACCAGCGACUGAUCCAGCAUCCAUUCACCAGACUGCCUCAGCUGUGCCUUCUAACAAUCACUUUGAGAGAAAACUUGUUUGUAUUUGCCACAUAAAACCAUGCAGAUUUUUCUAUUUUCCAUCUUACUGCUGAGAUCUGUAGCUCCUCUUAUAUAUUCUUCAGCAACUACAUUUGCACAGUAUUAAAUAAAGGAGCUGUUUCGUAAUUUUAAGAAGUACUGAUAUUGCUGUGCAUCACAUUGGUAUUUCUUUUUUUUCAGCUCAUUGCCACUGAUUUCCUCUUAAGGAAUUGAAACUUGUACAUUCAUUUAGCAGUCACCUGAAAUUUUUGAAACACGGGUGACUUCCUAUAGUGAGAUGGAAAAGAAUUUCCAUCACUGACCUUAAACUGGUCAGUUUGGUCAUUGGUUACGUGAGCUGCGUGAUCUUAAGUGUGUUUUCUUCACAUAACAUUGCAUUUCACUUACACUGCAAUAUCUGAACACUAUUCCUGUUUCUCUC